AAAGAAAUAAAAAGAAAAAGCUUCUAACUUUUUAAAGAGCAAUUAAACUGUUCAU
RNAcentral lists this transfer RNA (55 nucleotides) under Ponyalis quadricollis. Its description in RNAcentral is "partial tRNA-Ser". The record is from RNAcentral. Lineage: Eukaryota; Metazoa; Arthropoda; Insecta; Coleoptera; Lycidae.